CCUGAGACUGUAAGUCUCCUGAAGGAACGUUGAAGACGACGACGUUGAUAGGCCGGGUGUGUAAGCGCAGCGAUGCGUUGAGCUAACCGGUACUAAUGAACCGUGAGGCUUAACCUUACAACGCCAAAGAAGU
RNAcentral lists this ribosomal RNA (133 nucleotides) under Cronobacter sakazakii. Its description in RNAcentral is "partial 23S ribosomal RNA". The stretch from base 1 to 117 matches the Rfam family "Bacterial large subunit ribosomal RNA", at positions 2798 to 2925 of the family's 2925-position model. The record is from RNAcentral. Lineage: Bacteria; Pseudomonadati; Pseudomonadota; Gammaproteobacteria; Enterobacterales; Enterobacteriaceae.